Molecule: unclassified non-coding RNA, 201 nt
Filed under: uncultured Ascomycota
Lineage: Eukaryota; Fungi; Ascomycota
Description: sequence contains ITS1
Source: RNAcentral
CAGAGUUAUCUAACUCACCAAAAACCAUGUGAACUUACCUAUGUUGCCUCGGCGGGGAACCUACCCGGGAGCUACUCUACAGUAGCCCACCCGGUACCUACCCGGUAACUACCCUGUAGUUGUAGGCUUACCCGCCGGUGGACCAUUUCAAACUCUUGACGUUAUUUUGGCACUUCUGAGUUAAUCAUACUCAAUGAGUUA